UACAGAGGUCCCAAGCGUUGUUCGGAUUCACUGGGCGUAAAGGGUGCGUAGGCGGUCGGGUAAGUCUGAUGUGAAAUCUCACAGCUUAACUGUGAAACUGCAUUGGAUACUAUUCGGCUUGAGAGUUGGAGGGGGGACUGGAAUUCUUGGUGUAGCAGUGAAAUGCGUAGAGAUGUGGAGGAACACCAGUGGCGAAGGCGACUCUUUGGCCUGUAACUGACGCUGAGGCGCGAAAGCGUGGGGAGCAAACAGG
This 253-nucleotide ribosomal RNA is filed under the name uncultured bacterium. Its description in RNAcentral is "partial 16S ribosomal RNA". It matches the Rfam family "Bacterial small subunit ribosomal RNA", at positions 524 to 776 of the family's 1533-position model. The record is from RNAcentral.